Long non-coding RNA from Pygocentrus nattereri (red-bellied piranha), 955 nucleotides. The record is from Ensembl. NCBI's taxonomy places the organism in Eukaryota, Metazoa, Chordata, Actinopteri, Characiformes, Serrasalmidae.
GUGAAAAUGAAGCGCGGCCAGCAGCUGCGGAGCCGGCAGUAAGAGAGAAAUACUCAGCGCGGACUAAACGGGGGGGUCUCAAUGAACGGCGUAACCGGGGGGGCGGGGCUCCGCGCAGGCGAUGACCGGGAAGACGUGAGGUUGAUCGAUUUCUCGGAGUUUGAUUUCGCGUCCUGGUUCCCCAUCACGUAUUCCGUAUCGACUACCAAUGCCUGCUUGCCGCCGUAUGGCGCCGGUGUUUGAGUCUGUGCUGCCGUGUGGAGGCAUUUCUGCGAUUUAACGGGCGAGAGUGAGAGAACAUGGGCCGCCGUUCUUCAGACAGCGAGGAUGACAGCCAUAGUCGGAGAAAGAGGAAGCACAGACGGCGCUCCUCGUCCUCCUCCUCCAGCUCAUCAGGGAGCAGAGUGACGAGCCGAAGCAAACACUCCAGCAGGAGAAGUCGCUCCCGGUCCAGAGCCCGAGACCGAGAUCAAGAGAGAGACAGGGACCGAGAUAGGAGGCGAAGGCACCGUUCCAGCAGCAGCUCAUCCAGAGGUUCCAGCCACAGGAAGCGGAGUCGUAGCACUGACAGGGGGCGGAGCCACAGAUCCCGGAGGUCUCGCUCCCGCAGCCGAAAGAGGUCUCGUUCCCGUCACCGCAGGUCCCGCAGUAGCGGCCGGUCCAGCAGGAGGCGCAGUCGUAGCCGGAGCCGAGGCCGGGACCGCAGCCAGCGCAAGACCCGGGACAGGGAAAGAGAGAGAGGACGGGACAGAGAGCGUGAGAAAGAGAAAGAUGCAAAAGCCAAGGAAAAGGAAAAACAAGGGGACGUGGGGAACAUCAAAGCCGGAUUAGAACAUCUGACGCCGGCUGAGCAGGCCAAGGUGCGACUCCAGCUGGUGCUUCAGGCUGCAGGUAGGUGACCGUCUCCUUUUUUCUGGCAGUUCCUCCUGGUCAAGUUCAACAGAACGAAAGGAAC